GGAAUAGGACCCUGACCUCCUAUUUUCAGUUGGUUUUGUUUACAGCGAGGUUAUAUCAGGGUAAUGAUUAAUAGGGAUAGUUGGGGGCAUUAAUAUUUAAUUGUCAGAGGUGAAAUUCUUGGAUUUAUGAAAGAUUAACUUCUGCGAAAGCGUUUGCCAAGGAUGUUUUCAUUAAUCAAGAACGAAAGUUAGGGGAUCGAAGACGAUCAGAUACCGUCGUAGUCUUAACCAUAAACGAUGCCGACCAGCGAUUAGGAGACGUUGAAUACAAAACACCGCUGUUAAUCCUUUCGGGGGUUAAUAGUUGGUGAAUGACUCCCUAGCAGCUUGUGAGAA
This 336-nucleotide ribosomal RNA is filed under the name Acanthamoeba lenticulata. Its description in RNAcentral is "SSU rRNA". It matches the Rfam family "Eukaryotic small subunit ribosomal RNA", at positions 819 to 1096 of the family's 1831-position model. The record is from RNAcentral. Lineage: Eukaryota; Discosea; Longamoebia; Acanthamoebidae.